Long non-coding RNA from Ipomoea nil (Japanese morning glory), 369 nucleotides. RefSeq lists it as uncharacterized. The record is from RefSeq and is a predicted model, not a curated record. The transcript has 2 exons. Lineage: Eukaryota; Viridiplantae; Streptophyta; Magnoliopsida; Solanales; Convolvulaceae.
GUAUCAAUUGGUUUUCUGUGUUUCUUCUCUCAUCCUUCUGAUAAUUGGGUUAACCACUGCCAUUGUUAUACUUCUUCGUGGAGUAAACUUGAAUGACCAUUGUUCUUGGUGUCACUAUAUGAGUUGUGUUCCUACUUCAAAGUGGAGCUGCAACACAGAACCUGUUUCCUGUCUGGUAUGCAUCUUUAACUCUCUUUUGCUUUUAAUAUAUCCAAAACGUGACCUUUUUGUUAUUAAUUAAUAAUCAAAAUUUUCAUGAAUUAUGGCUAGCCUUGUUAUUGGGAGAUCUUUUUGUUUAACAGCCUUGCAUUACCGCAACUGAUAAAUCACUAGAGCUACAUAGGAACAUCAUGCUUGUCUCCCGUUGUU